CCUACGGGUGGCAGCAGUGGGGAAUUUUGCGCAAUGCUCGUAAGAGUGACGCAGCGACGCCGCGUGAAUGACGAAGGCCUUCGGGUCGUAAAGUUCUUUCUACAGGGAAGAAAAUGCCUAUAAGUAACUGUUUAUGUAUUGACGGUACCUGUAUAAGCAGCACCGGCUAACUCCGUGCCAGCAGCCUCGUUAAUACGGAGGGGGCGAGCGUUGUUCGGAUUGACUGGGCGUAAAGAGCACGUAGGCGGGGUUGUAAGUCAUUAGUCAAAGACUAGAGCGAAACUUUAGUAAGGCUAGUGAUACUAUAAUACUAGAGUAUGAGAGAGGAUUGCAGAAUUCCUGGUGUAGCGGUGAAAUGCGGAGAUAUCAGGAGGAAUACCGUUAGCGAAGGCGGCAAUCUGGCUGGAAACUGACGCUGAGGUGCGAAAGCGUGGGUAGCAAACAGGAUUAGAUACCCGUGUAGUC
RNAcentral lists this ribosomal RNA (465 nucleotides) under uncultured bacterium. Its description in RNAcentral is "partial 16S ribosomal RNA". It matches the Rfam family "Bacterial small subunit ribosomal RNA", at positions 338 to 795 of the family's 1533-position model. The record is from RNAcentral.